This 250-nucleotide ribosomal RNA is filed under the name uncultured bacterium. Its description in RNAcentral is "partial 16S ribosomal RNA". It matches the Rfam family "Bacterial small subunit ribosomal RNA", at positions 524 to 776 of the family's 1533-position model. The record is from RNAcentral.
UACGUAGGCAGCAAGCGUUGUUCGGAAUUACUGGGCGUAAAGAGUGUGUAGGCGGUGCUCCAAGUCUGGUGUGAAAUCUCCCGGCUUAACUGGGAGGGUGCAUUAGAACUGGAAUGCUAGAGGAUGGAGAGGUAAGCGGAAUUCCUGGUGUAGCGGUGAAAUGCGUAGAUAUCAGGAGGAACACCUGUGGUGUAGACAGCUUACUGGACCAUUCUGACGCUGAGACACGAAAGCGUGGGUAGCAAACAGG